CCUACGGGUGGCAGCAGUGGGGAAUAUUGGACAAUGGGCGAAAGCCUGAUCCAGCCAUGCCGCGUGUGUGAAGAAGGCCUUCGGGUUGUAAAGCACUUUAAGUUGGGAGGAAAGCCUGUAUGUGAAUAAUGUGCAGGGUUGACGUUACCGACAGAAUAAGCACCGGCAAACUCCGUGCCAGCAGCCGCGGUAAUACGGAGGGUGCGAGCGUUAAUCGGAAUUACUGGGCGUAAAGCGCACGUAGGCGGUCAUGUAAGUGGGAUGUGAAAUCCCCGGGCUUAACCUGGGACUUGCAUCUCAGACUGCAUGACUAGAGUAUGGGAGAGGGAGGUGGAAUUUCCGGUGUAGCGGUGAAAUGCGUAGAGAUCGGAAGGAACAUCAGUGGCGAAGGCGGCCUCCUGGCCUAAUACUGACGCUGAGGUGCGAAAGCGUGGGGAUCAAACAGGAUUAGAUACCCUAGUAGUC
This 465-nucleotide ribosomal RNA is filed under the name uncultured bacterium. Its description in RNAcentral is "bacterial SSU rRNA". It matches the Rfam family "Bacterial small subunit ribosomal RNA", at positions 338 to 795 of the family's 1533-position model. The record is from RNAcentral.